CCUACGGGUGGCAGCAGUAGGGAAUAUUGCUCAAUGGUGGAAACCCUGAAGCAGCAAAGCCGCGUGGGGGAUGAAGGUUUUCGGAAUGUAAACUCCUUUUGUUAGAGAAGAUAAUGACGGUAUCUAACGAAUAAGCACCGGCUAACUCCGUGCCAGCAGCCGCGGUACUACGGAGGGAGCAAGCGUUACUCGGAAUCACUGGGCGUAAAGAGCGCGUAGGCGGGAUAGCAAGUCAGAUGUGAAAUCCUAGGGCUUAACCAUAGAACUGCAGUUGAAACUGUUAGUCUAGAGUAUGGGAGAGGUAGGUGGAAUUCUUGGUGUAGGGGUAAAAUCCGUAGAGAUCAAGAGGAAUACUCAUUGCGAAGGCGACCUGCUAGAACAUCACUGACGCUGAUGCGCGAAAGCGUGGGGAUCAAACAGGAUUAGAUACCCUUGUAGUC
This 440-nucleotide ribosomal RNA is filed under the name uncultured bacterium. RNAcentral's name for it is "partial 16S ribosomal RNA". It matches the Rfam family "Bacterial small subunit ribosomal RNA", at positions 338 to 795 of the family's 1533-position model. The record is from RNAcentral.